This 253-nucleotide ribosomal RNA is filed under the name uncultured bacterium. Its description in RNAcentral is "partial 16S ribosomal RNA". It matches the Rfam family "Bacterial small subunit ribosomal RNA", at positions 524 to 776 of the family's 1533-position model. The record is from RNAcentral.
UACGGAGGGUGCAAGCGUUGUUCGGAAUUACUGGGCGUAAAGGGCGUGUAGGUGGUUAACUCAGUCAGGUGUGAAAGCCCUCAGCUCAACUGAGGAAGCGCAUCUGAAACUGGUUAACUUGAGUACGGGAGAGGAGAGUGGAAUUCCUGGUGUAGAGGUGAAAUUCGUAGAUAUCAGGAGGAACAUCGGUGGCGAAGGCGACUCUCUGGACCGAUACUGACACUGAGACGCGAAAGCGUGGGGAGCAAACAGG